Molecule: long non-coding RNA, 132 nt
Organism: Papilio xuthus (Asian swallowtail)
Lineage: Eukaryota; Metazoa; Arthropoda; Insecta; Lepidoptera; Papilionidae
Exons: 7
Source: RefSeq, a predicted model, not a curated record
GACCGAAAAAGGAGAAAAUGAGGAAACGAAAAAGGAAGAAGACUGAAGCCAACUUUGAUUACGACGUUGUCGUAUAAAGUAAAUAAAUUGCUGUGGAAAAUCGACGCAAUAAAUAUUUUCAAAUUAUCAACG